AUGCCGUACACGGCAUCGCGGCCGUCGGCGCCGCAGCGGGCUCGGGUCGCCGCGGUGGGCGCGGGGUGGAAGGCGGCGGCGCACGCGGCGUCGUGCGGGGCGGUGCCGGGGGAGGUGGCGCGGCACCACGAGCACGCGGCGGGUACCGGGCAGUGCUGCUCGGCGGUGGUGCAGGCGAUCGAGGCGCCCGUGGGCGCGGUGUGGGCCGUGGUGCGGCGCUUCGACCGCCCGCAGGCGUACAAGCACUUCAUCCGGAGCUGCCGCCUCGUGGACGGCGACGGCGGCGCGGUGGGGUCGGUGCGCGAGGUGCGGGUGGUGUCGGGCCUCCCCGCCACCAGCAGCCGCGAGCGGCUGGAGAUCCUCGACGACGAGCGCCGCGUGCUCAGCUUCCGCGUCGUCGGCGGCGAGCACCGCCUCUCCAACUAUCGGUCGGUGACCACCGUGCACGAGGCCGCGUCGGCGGGCGCCGUCGUGGUGGAGUCGUACGUGGUGGACGUGCCCCCCGGGAACACCGCCGACGAGACGCGCACCUUCGUGGACACCAUCGUGCGGUGCAACCUCCAGUCGCUGGCGCGCACCGCCUAG
This 585-nucleotide ribosomal RNA is filed under the name Triticum aestivum (bread wheat). RNAcentral's name for it is "partial small subunit ribosomal RNA". Lineage: Eukaryota; Viridiplantae; Streptophyta; Magnoliopsida; Poales; Poaceae. The record is from RNAcentral.